GACAAAAUGACAACUUAGAGAGGUGUAGAUGUCUACACCACCUUGCUUUGUGUUGGAAAUUUCUCUUCAUUAUGUUUUUAUUCUAUCUGAAUACAUCAAUAUAAGUUGAUAAUUCUAAAAUUAAAUAAUCAUUUUGAUAGUUUUUUUUUUCCUCUUUCCUUUUUCCUUCAUGUAAAAAUUAUACCUGGUUUUUAGUGUUUGUUUUAAAUAUCAUCUCUAUUGAUCAAGUAAAAAGUUAUUUCCUGCCCAUUGGUUUUAUCUGACUUGUGCAUAUUGCUUAGUUGCUUUGCUCGUUGCAAUAUGAGUUGUUGUUCAUUUUUAAAUGGUAAGAAGUUGAAAACAGAACAAUAUUCUUUAUUUGGGCAACACAGGCCUGAAGAAGUUGCUUGCUGUUUUGACAUUGUCUAUUCUUUUGUCGCAAGACAGAAACUAACUUGCUGAAGGUAUAUGGUAUUCAAAAUGGAUCUCAUAACUCACAAGAUACAUCUCUUAUGACUAAUAAAUUUUUUAGGUAUGCGCUGCAGUGGGAAUCU
RNAcentral lists this unclassified non-coding RNA (533 nucleotides) under Hevea brasiliensis (rubber tree). The record is from RNAcentral. Lineage: Eukaryota; Viridiplantae; Streptophyta; Magnoliopsida; Malpighiales; Euphorbiaceae.